AACGAACGCUGGCGGCAUGCCUAACACAUGCAAGUCGAACGAGACCUUCGGGUCUAGUGGCGCACGGGUGCGUAACGCGUGGGAACCUGCCCUUAGGUUCGGAAUAACUCCCCGAAAGGGGUGCUAAUACCGGAUAAUGUCUUCGGACCAAAGAUUUAUCGCCUUUGGAUGGGCCCGCGUUGGAUUAGCUAGUUGGUAGGGUAAAAGCCUACCAAGGCGACGAUCCAUAGCUGGUCGGAGAGGAUGAUCAGCCACACUGGGACUGAGACACGGCCCAGACUCCUACGGGAGGCAGCAGUGGGGAAUAUUGGACAAUGGGCGAAAGCCUGAUCCAGCAAUGCCGCGGGAGUGAUGAAGGCCUUAGGGUUGUAAAGCUCUUUUACCCGGGAUGAUAAUGACAGUACCGGGAGAAUAAGCUCCGGCUAACUCCGUG
This 433-nucleotide ribosomal RNA is filed under the name uncultured bacterium. RNAcentral's name for it is "partial 16S ribosomal RNA". It matches the Rfam family "Bacterial small subunit ribosomal RNA", at positions 29 to 507 of the family's 1533-position model. The record is from RNAcentral.